GAUCCUGGCUCAGGAUGAACGCUGGCGGCGUGCUUAACACAUGCAAGUCGAACGAAGCACUUUAUUCGAUUUCCUUCGGGACUGAUUAUUUUGUGACUGAGUGGCGGACGGGUGAGUAACGCGUGGGUAACCUGCCUUGUACAGGGGGAUAACAGUUGGAAACGGCUGCUAAUACCGCAUAAGCGCACGGCAUCGCAUGAUGCAGUGUGAAAAACUCCGGUGGUAUAAGAUGGACCCGCGUUGG
This 244-nucleotide ribosomal RNA is filed under the name uncultured bacterium. RNAcentral describes it as "partial 16S ribosomal RNA". It matches the Rfam family "Bacterial small subunit ribosomal RNA", at positions 15 to 239 of the family's 1533-position model. The record is from RNAcentral.